GUGGAAUAACCAAAGAAAAAUAAAAAAGAACAUAGAGAUAAAAGCCUCUCUUAUAGACAGAGAGAGAAAGCAUGAGCACCUCCUCCUCUGUUUCCAUUUCCACAAUCCUUAUUGUUAGAUCUUAGUUUCUCAUCUGGUCCUCUCUAAAAUGGAUUCUGGGUUGAGUUCUGAUUGGUUAUAGGAUAUCAAAUGAUCCAAGAUUGGAUUUAACAAAUACCCACUUCAACUUUUUGAUUGGGCACCAAUCAGAUUCUAUCUUUAUUAUCAUAUAAGGAAAAGAUGGAAUCAGAUCUUGGUAAGCUCUUCAUUGGUGGGAUUUCAUGGGACACUGAUGAGGAACGUCUGAAGGAAUAUUUUAGCAAGUAUGGGGAAGUGGUGGAGGCGGUGAUCAUGAGAGAUAGAAC
This 404-nucleotide unclassified non-coding RNA is filed under the name Hevea brasiliensis (rubber tree). Lineage: Eukaryota; Viridiplantae; Streptophyta; Magnoliopsida; Malpighiales; Euphorbiaceae. The record is from RNAcentral.